GCAGAGAUGCUUUGGUGCCUUCGGGAACUCUGAGACAGGUGCUGCAUGGCUGUCGUCAGCUCGUGUUGUGAAAUGUUGGGUUAAGUCCCGCAACGAGCGCAACCCUUAUCCUUUGUUGCCAGCGGUCCGGCCGGGAACUCAAAGGAGACUGCCAGUGAUAAACUGGAGGAAGGUGGGGAUGACGUCAAGUCAUCAUGGCCCUUACGAGUAGGGCUACACACGUGCUACAAUGGCAUAUACAAAGAGAAGCGACCUCGCGAGAGCAAGCGGACCUCAUAAAGUAUGUCGUAGUCCGGAUUGGAGUCUGCAACUCGACUCCAUGAAGUCGGAAUCGCUAGUAAUCGUGGAUCAGAAUGCCACGGUGAAUACGUUCCCGGGCCUUGUACACACCGCCCGUCACACCAUGGGAGUGGGUUGCAAAAGAAGUAGGUAGCUUAACCUUCGGGAGGGCGCUUACCACUUUGUGAUUCAUGACUGGGGUGAAGUCGUAACAAGGUAACCGUAGGGGAACCUGCGGUUGGAUCACCUCCUUACCUUAAAGAA
Molecule: ribosomal RNA, 543 nt
Filed under: Citrobacter freundii
Lineage: Bacteria; Pseudomonadati; Pseudomonadota; Gammaproteobacteria; Enterobacterales; Enterobacteriaceae
Description: bacterial SSU rRNA
Rfam family: Bacterial small subunit ribosomal RNA
Source: RNAcentral